This 83-nucleotide transfer RNA is filed under the name Paraburkholderia elongata. RNAcentral's name for it is "tRNA-OTHER". The record is from RNAcentral. Lineage: Bacteria; Pseudomonadati; Pseudomonadota; Betaproteobacteria; Burkholderiales; Burkholderiaceae.
GGACGGGCGAAAAGACCGGGCUUCAAACACAGUUGAGGGCGUCAGACGCGCUCAGGUCGGUUCGACUCCGGCUGCCUUCCGCA